RNAcentral lists this ribosomal RNA (253 nucleotides) under uncultured bacterium. RNAcentral describes it as "partial 16S ribosomal RNA". It matches the Rfam family "Bacterial small subunit ribosomal RNA", at positions 524 to 776 of the family's 1533-position model. The record is from RNAcentral.
UACGUAGGGGGCAAGCGUUAUUCGGAGUUAUUGGGCGUAAAGGGUGUGUAGGCGGCGUUUUAAGUGAGGUGUUAAAUACCUGAGCUUAACCGAGGAACUGCAUCUGAAACUGGCAAGCUAGAGGACGGAAGAGAGGAGUGGAAUUCCCGGUGUAGAGGUAAAAUGCGUAGAUCUUGAGAAGAACACCGAUGGCGAAGGCGGCUUACUGGGCCGUAACUGACGCUGAGGCUCGAAAGCGUGGGGAGCAAACAGG